RNAcentral lists this transfer RNA (71 nucleotides) under Cavia porcellus (domestic guinea pig). It matches the Rfam family "tRNA". From Rfam's summary of the family: Transfer RNA (tRNA) molecules are approximately 80 nucleotides in length. Lineage: Eukaryota; Metazoa; Chordata; Mammalia; Rodentia; Caviidae. The record is from Rfam by way of RNAcentral.
AGAGGUGUAGCUCAGUGGUAGGGUACUUGCCUGUCAUGCAUGAGGUCCUGGUUCAAUCCCCAGUGCUGCCC